Molecule: long non-coding RNA, 1486 nt
Filed under: Homo sapiens (human)
Lineage: Eukaryota; Metazoa; Chordata; Mammalia; Primates; Hominidae
Description: non-protein coding LINC01060:18
Source: RNAcentral
ACCAUUCAGCCUGAUCCGGAAGGAAGGCCAUGAUUUCAGCUCUCUGGGAUUUGAGACAAAGAGGCCCCUUUUCUUUCAUUUUAUCUUUUCAUGUCUCUUCUUGCCAUGUACCCACAUGAUUGAGUGUGGGCUGAGGGUGAAUCCAAGAAGGGCUUUGUUUUGUGGUCAGUACAGGCUUUGGUCCACAGAGACAACAAUACUUUCAAUACUCUUUUGUUCUGCCCCAGAGGAGCUCAACACAGAAUUGCCUAGAACAAGAAACUGGAAUUGUACAUGGCGAUCAUCAGCAGUAUGAAGAGGAGCUGUGGGGCCAGUGAGAGAAGCUGCAGCCUGUUGAGACUCCACAAGACUGAAGAUAUGAAAAGAGGAAAUAUGCAUGAAUGCCCGCACGGAGAACCACCCCCACCUGCUGCUCCCGCUCUAAUGAUCACGCCCAUUAUCAACUGGGGGAUGGCUCUGUGCCUUGUCCUUGCAUUACAUGGACCAAGAACACUUCACAGGACUCAGAGAGGCAAAAAUAGAUACAAAAGAAGAAGGAAUUACAGAAGAAGUCACAUAACAUUAUUGCCUACAACUGACUGUUUACCUUGAAUACUUGAAGACCAGAAUGAAGAUUCUUGGGGUGAAGAAUUACAGCCUUAGCAUGGAGCAGGCCUCGGUGCAUCGGCUUUCAGCUAGGCAUGCCUGCCAAUGUUCAACGUCCUCCUGGGAUACGGAAGGCACCGUGAUAGACAUCUGGGCAAGUCAACAGGAAGGUGGAUAUCCAAAUCUCUCUCUUCGCAAUGAGUUUCCAGUUAGAUGGAGGAGAGAGUAAUAAAACACAGAGCUGAGAUUCCUGACUUCACAGAUCCCUGAGGAGAUGUUUACUAAAGGGAAUCUUCUGGUCACUGUUACCUUCCUCCGUACUUACCUGCCUCAUGGAUAACACUGAAGAAUGCAGUUUACUUACAUCUUUUUCUGUUUGACAGAAGACAGUUAUUAGUUACCCUUGGGACAUCAAAAUGACCAAGGCAGUGUCUGCUAAGUAUUUGCUGAGACUCUGCUAUGAUUCUUUCAAGUCUAAAGACAGUUAUCUGAAUGAUAUCCCCGUGACAGUGGACUCCUGCACAUUCACAGUCCUGGAAGGAGCCUGUCCACAUUGGCAUUCUGGAAGUCCAUAAAAGACAAACGCAUAUGCAGUCCCCGAGAAAGCAUUGUUGUAAACAAAUCUGCACUAGAUGGAAACUCUGUUAUGUGGUGCCGGCAUGCAUGGAAGAGAACCCGAAAGGAAGAAGCUAUACGACUGGGGACACAUGUCUUAGAAGCACACUCAUUAGAUAAAGUGUCGCAUACUCUUUGAUAAGGUGGGAAAAGCAAGGCAAAGAGAAAGUGAACAACAAUGAAACUAGGAACGUAACCCAAGCGCUCGUGCCAGAGCGUGUAUGCUCGAUCUUGGGACCACACCACUUCCCUUGUGGGUUCUUGGUCUCACUCACUUCAAGAAUGA